RNAcentral lists this ribosomal RNA (319 nucleotides) under Ero sp. GH1244. RNAcentral describes it as "partial 12S ribosomal RNA". The record is from RNAcentral. Lineage: Eukaryota; Metazoa; Arthropoda; Arachnida; Araneae; Mimetidae.
AAAAAUUAACUAGGUAGUAUAAUUUUUAAAAACCACUAUAAAAUGGCGGCAUUUUAUCUUAUUAGAGGAACAUGUUGUAUAAUAGAUAUUACACAAUAAGUUUUACUUAAUUUAAAAUCCUGUAUACCUCCGUUUUGAAUAUAUAAAAAAUAUUUUCCAAAUAAUAAUCUAGAAAAAUAGGUAAAGGUGCAGACUAUAAAUAAGAAACAAUGUGUUACAUUAAAUUAUAUUUAUAGAAAUCUACUUAAAAUUUUUUGAAAAAAGGAUUUAAAAGUAAAUUUUAAAUAAUAUUUACAAUUGAAUAAGAAUAUAAAUGUGC